GGAGACUCAGUUGGGGGUUUCCACAUACCAAGUGCAGACAAAUCUGGUGUAGGUGAAGGUAAAACAGACGGCCGUGCCCGCUUGUUCCUUUGCACAGGUUGGGAGUUCGAAGGAGUAGUUGCAACAAGAGGCUCCAAUUCCCACGGUGAUACUCUAUCUGGACGCAAGAUUGAAGAAGGCUCAUCCCAUUGGACCUAGCAGAGAACAUGAUACAAGCCACAAAUGAAGAGAUGAUAACAUGACUUCUAAGUUUUAACGCGAAAACAGAAAGACACCAUGUUUGAUCAAACAAAAUUCCAGAAACCAUUAACACAAUAAAUUUAGAAAUCAAAACAAGAAAUUAUUUGAAAAGUUGUCAACCUUUAAGGAUCUCCAUUCAGAAUCAGCCCACCCUGAUGACAUAUUAUCUCCAACACCAACAAUAGUGCCACUAAACCUUCGUUCAGGUACUUCCUCACCCUCAAAUCUCAUCUUAAACCUCAUCCCAACA
This 490-nucleotide unclassified non-coding RNA is filed under the name Hevea brasiliensis (rubber tree). The record is from RNAcentral. Lineage: Eukaryota; Viridiplantae; Streptophyta; Magnoliopsida; Malpighiales; Euphorbiaceae.